GGAGAUAUAUAAAAAUAGGCAUUUUUGAGGAGAGAGAUUCGGUUUUAGGUAUUACAAUAGUGAAAAGCAUUACUGUACAUGUAAACAUAACUGUAUCUGACAUUUUUACCCUUUUGUUUAUCUGACCAAGAUUUGAAGUGAUUCAUGCGAAGAAGAAAUUGUUGCUGAAGACGCAUCUCACCGUGACGAAGAAGAAGCUACCGGUGAACUGGUGUUGAAAUUGCAUUCGUGAAAUCUGUUAAUUGGAAGUAACGAAUCAAAAGAGAAACAAGAUUGUUUUUUUUUUUUGGGUAAAAAAAAACAAGAUCCUAACUUUUGUAAUAAGAAAAUGAAAAAUCAUGUUUAUCUGCUUUUUAAAGGAGAAAAACUAAACCCUAAUAGAUAGUAAUUAGGGAACCCAAACAUUGUUCAUAAAAUCUCCUCUAUCACUGAAUUCCC
This 438-nucleotide long non-coding RNA is filed under the name Capsella rubella. RNAcentral describes it as "long non-coding RNA (CRUB_LNC001199)". Lineage: Eukaryota; Viridiplantae; Streptophyta; Magnoliopsida; Brassicales; Brassicaceae. The record is from RNAcentral.